Molecule: ribosomal RNA, 429 nt
Filed under: uncultured bacterium
Lineage: Bacteria
Description: bacterial SSU rRNA
Rfam family: Bacterial small subunit ribosomal RNA
Source: RNAcentral
UAGGGAAUUGUUCGCAAUGGGCGCAAGCCUGACGACGCAACGCCGCGUGGAGGAUGAAGAUCUUCGGGUCGUAAACUCCUUUCGAUUGGGACGAAUUCCCUGGAGGUGAACAAUCUUCGGGGUUGACGGUACCGAGAGAAGAAGCCCCGGCUAACUCCGUGCCAGCAGCCGCGGUAAUACGGGGGGGGCAAGCGUUGUUCGGAAUUACUGGGCGUAAAGGGCUCGUAGGCGGCCCACUAAGUCAGACGUGAAAUCCCUCGGCUUAACCGGGGAACUGCGUCUGAUACUGGAGGGCUUGAGUUUGGGAGAGGGAUGCGGAAUUCCAGGUGUAGCGGUGAAAUGCGUAGAUAUCUGGAGGAACACCGGUGGCGAAGGCGGCAUCCUGGACCAACACUGACGCUGAGGAGCGAAAGCCAGGGGAGCAAACGG